UACAUAGGAUGCAAGCGUUAUCCGGAAUGAUUGGGCGUAAAGCGUCUGUAGGUGGCUUUUUAAGUCCGCCGUCAAAUCCCAGGGCUCAACUCUGGACAGGCGGUGGAAACUACCAAGCUGGAGUACGGUAGGGGCAGAGGGAAUUUCCGGUGGAGCGGUGAAAUGCGUAGAGAUCGGAAAGAACACCAACGGCGAAGGCGGCUAUCUGGACGGUUUCUGACGCUAAGACGCGAAAGCGUGGGGAGCAAACAGG
This 253-nucleotide ribosomal RNA is filed under the name uncultured bacterium. Its description in RNAcentral is "partial 16S ribosomal RNA". It matches the Rfam family "Bacterial small subunit ribosomal RNA", at positions 524 to 776 of the family's 1533-position model. The record is from RNAcentral.